CCUCUUUGUAGUUAAGUUAUGGCCAUACAUAUUACAUAUGAAACAAACCAUUCGAAUCCCCCCUCCCUCUCAAUCCUGUUCUUCUUUGUCUUCAAUCUUCGAAGGAAAACACAAACCUGACCCUUCUUCUCCGUCUUCGUAUUUUGAAGCACAAUUUCAGUCGGUUUUCAUCAUAUUCCAAGGUUACCAACAAAAACAACAUCAGCUAUACUUUCCUCUUAGUUAAUUUGAUUUUCAAAGCACAUCGUAGCAUUCAUCUCCAUGACCUUCUUAUUUUCGAACCCUAAAUGCAGGCGACAGCCAUGGUUAAGCUUUCCACACCUUGAUUUUUGAACUACACAACAUCUUCGACCUGCUUAAUUUGCUUGAGAUUUUCGAACCAAAACAGUUAGUUUGCCCUCAAAUUCUUGGUACAUCCGAACACGUCAAUAGCUAAAUUCUUUAAUUUUUCUUUUUCCUCUUUUCUUUAAAACAUAGCUGAAUUUCUAAUUUAUGUUUCUAUUAUUCACAUCCUACUUUAUUGAUUUGUUUUGAGUCGUUUGGUUCUUGAAAAAGGCAGCAACAUCAUCAAAUAUCAUCACCUUCUACGUUUAAUUCAGGAGGCAUGAUAUGCAAAUGUCAAACCCUGCAAUCAAGUAUUGAUCGAGAGAGUGGCAUCUGAUAGUGUACAUCGAGAGUGAAGAUUCUACACUUACAUUACGAGACUCUACACUUGAUUCCGUGGUGACUACUAAGAUUGGAGAAUGAAGAUUGGAGGAGGAGCGUCGAAGCCUCGAAGAAGCACAGAAGCACUGUCGACUGUCGAUGGGUUGAAGGCUUGAAGCUCGAAGAUUUGAAGCCUCGAAGGAGGGCCGGAGGCGAGGAAUUAGAGAGGAGGCGAGGAAACAGAGAGAAGGCGAGGAAGAGAGGAGAAUGUCACGACUCACGAUUUUGGAAAAGGAGAUGGAGGCAGCCAGCAGCAAUAGUUCACUCACGAGUAGUUGCCCACUUGCCCUAAUCCCCUAAAAUAUGAUUUUAAUACGGUUUUUCGGUCCGGUUUGGUUUGAAAAUUUUAAAACCGGGACUGGACCGUAAACCGUUUUAAAAAAAAAAAUAGACUGUAGACCAGACCAAAUAUUUAAAUUACGGUUUGGUCCGGUUUGGUUUACGGUUUAGACCAAACCAUGUUCAGCCCUAGAUAUUGUUAUAUGGUCAAUGGAUCGGGCUCACGAGCUGGUCAUUUAAAUAUUGACUAGCCUCACCCGAAAGUGUUAUAGCCUUAGAACUAUAAAUGUUCCUCUCAACUAGACUCCUAGUGCGCACAAAGAUCUAGGAAACUAAUAUUGCUUUUAAAUCUUUUAUUUUGAUUUCAUGUUUGUUUUGUUUUGGAUUGCUUCUGCUCAUUCAGUUUUAUCUGACUCCAUGUUGUUUCCAUCUUUUAAUUUGU
This is a long non-coding RNA of Amaranthus tricolor (Joseph's coat), 1426 nucleotides long. RefSeq lists it as uncharacterized. The transcript is spliced from 3 exons. The record is from RefSeq and is a predicted model, not a curated record. NCBI's taxonomy places the organism in Eukaryota, Viridiplantae, Streptophyta, Magnoliopsida, Caryophyllales, Amaranthaceae.